This 600-nucleotide ribosomal RNA is filed under the name Nocardiopsis sp. YIM 80033. Its description in RNAcentral is "bacterial SSU rRNA". It matches the Rfam family "Bacterial small subunit ribosomal RNA", at positions 38 to 641 of the family's 1533-position model. Lineage: Bacteria; Bacillati; Actinomycetota; Actinomycetes; Streptosporangiales; Nocardiopsidaceae. The record is from RNAcentral.
GGCGGCGUGCUUAACACAUGCAAGUCGAGCGGUAAGGCCCUUCGGGGUACACGAGCGGCGAACGGGUGAGUAACACGUGAGCAACCUGCCCCUGACUCUGGGAUAAGCGGUGGAAACGCCGUCUAAUACCGGAUACGACCUUUCAGCUCAUGCUGGAGGGUGGAAAGUUUUAUCGGUCAGGGAUGGGCUCGCGGCCUAUCAGCUUGUUGGUGGGGUAAAGGCCUACCAAGGCGAUUACGGGUAGCCGGCCUGAGAGGGCGACCGGCCACACUGGGACUGAGACACGGCCCAGACUCCUGCGGGAGGCAGCAGUGGGGAAUAUUGCACAAUGGGCGAAAGCCUGAUGCAGCGACGCCGCGUGGGGGAUGACGGCCUUCGGGUUGUAAACCUCUUUUACCACCAACGCAGGCUCCACGUUCUCGUGGGGUUGACGGUAGGUGGGGAAUAAGGACCGGCUAACUACGUGCCAGCAGCCGCGGUAAUACGUAGGGUCCGAGCGUUGUCCGGAAUUAUUGGGCGUAAAGAGCUCGUAGGCGGCGUGUCACGUCUGCUGUGAAAGACCGGGGCUUAACUCCGGUUCUGCAGUGGAUACGGGCAUGC